AGAGUUUGAUCCUGGCUCAGAACGAACGCUGGCGGCAUGCCUAACACAUGCAAGUCGAACGCCAUCCUCUGGAUGGAGUGGCGCACGGGUGAGUAACGCGUGGGAACCUGCCUUUUUCUGCGGGACAACGGUUGGAAACGACCGCUAAUACCGCAUACGCCCUACGGGGGAAAGGUCCGCCGGAGAGAGAGGGGCCCGCGUUUGAUUAGCUUGUUGGUGGGGUAACGGCUCACCAAGGCGACGAUCAAUAGCUGGUCUGAGAGGAUGAUCAGCCACACUGGGACUGAGACACGGCCCAGACUCCUACGGGAGGCAGCAGUGGGGAAUAUUGGACAAUGGGGGCAACCCUGAUCCAGCAAUGCCGCGUGUGUGAUGAAGGCCUUAGGGUUGUAAAGCACUCUCACUGGCGAAGAUGAUGACGGUAACCAGAGAAGAAGCCCCGGCUAACUUCGUGCCAGCAGCCGCGGUAAUACGAAGGGGGCGAGCGUUGUUCGGAAUUACUGGGCGUAAAGGGCGUGUAGGCGGCUCCUUAAGUUAGGCGUGAAAGCCCCGGGCUCAACCC
Molecule: ribosomal RNA, 562 nt
Filed under: uncultured Alphaproteobacteria bacterium
Lineage: Bacteria; Pseudomonadati; Pseudomonadota; Alphaproteobacteria
Description: bacterial SSU rRNA
Rfam family: Bacterial small subunit ribosomal RNA
Source: RNAcentral